RNAcentral lists this long non-coding RNA (532 nucleotides) under Struthio camelus australis. RNAcentral's name for it is "lncRNA (ENSSCUG00000011712.1)". Lineage: Eukaryota; Metazoa; Chordata; Aves; Struthioniformes; Struthionidae. The record is from RNAcentral.
AAUAUCAUGAAUUUUCUCUUUCUCCGCUUGUGUUUGCCAGUAGUGUAGACAGAUGGAUAUAUUCAUGUCCUCUCUUCAGACACGUGGUGCUCAGAAAGGAUGCAGGAAUUGCUUCAUCCAGCGCUCUCUUCUGAGCUCUGUGCUACCAGACCCCCUAGCUGACUUUUGCCUUAUUCUCAUGACAUAUUGGGGCCUCAUGCUCCAGUGUUAUCUUGAGCUUUACGAACCUGCUUCAGUCUUCAACUUGAAGGAAAAAAGAAGCAAAGAAGGUGCUAAAAACAUCACCAUGAUUGUAAUCCUGCCUUCCUCACCUUUUUUUGGACAUCCUUGGAGCAAGGACACACUGGGUCUCCUUCAGAGUUGCUGGAAUUAUUACAGCUGAUUUUGCCUCAGGCUUGGUUCACUGGGGAGCUGAUACCUGGGGUUCCGUUGAUAUCCCUGUCAUUGGCAAGGUAAGGAGAGGUUGACUUGCAUUCGCUAUGAGCAGCAGACUAGAAAUAAAUCAUUUUAAUAUGUUUUCUGAAGAUAAAAA